GACGAACGCUGGCGGCGUGCCUAAUACAUGCAAGUCGAACGCAGUGGGGACGGGUGAGUAACACGUGGGUAACCUCCCAUCAGAGGGGAUAACACUUGGCUACUGGUGCUAAACCGAUACUGAUGGAUGGAGCCGCGGUGCAUUAGCUAGUUGGUGGGGUAACGGCUCACCAAGGCCACGAUGCAGAGCCGACUUGAGAGGGUGAUCGGCCACACUGGGACUGAGACACGGCCCAGACUCCUACGGGAGGCAGCAGUGGGGAAUCGUGGGCAAUGGGCGAAAGUCUGACCGAGCCACGCCGCGUGAAUGAAGAAGGUUUUCGGAUCGUAAAGCUCUGUUGGUAGAGAAGCGGUAUCUAACCAGAAAGCCACGGCUAACUACGUGCCAGCAGCCGCGGUAAUUC
RNAcentral lists this ribosomal RNA (403 nucleotides) under uncultured bacterium. RNAcentral describes it as "partial 16S ribosomal RNA". It matches the Rfam family "Bacterial small subunit ribosomal RNA", at positions 28 to 526 of the family's 1533-position model. The record is from RNAcentral.